ACUGCAGAGUCUUUUUAAGGGCAGGGAUGACACGAUCGCCAUGGUUAUCAGUGCACCAGAUUUUAGAGGUGAGGAAGACAUCGUCGCGGGACUUUAUUAAACCAAGACUAACUGCUUGAGUUAUAGCUUCACCAAGAGCUUCCUCUGUUUCAUAAGCGGAAGCAGUAUCAAACAUCCUGUAACCAAGCUGAAUUGCUUCAAGCACAGCUUUUACGACUUCCUCUGGCUUAAGAUGGGGAUAUCCACCCGUGCCUAGUCCCAAAACAGGCAUAGCUUUUGCAUUUCCGGAGCUCAGAGCAACCUCUGGAACUCUUUUCAGAGCCAUCUUUUAAUCAGUAUCUCCUAAUAGCUAGCUUAAUAAGAUUAUAGAUAUGGAUAAAAUUUGCAGGUGAAAUGAAAUCCUUUGUUUAGUUCUUACAAGAUCAGGUAGGUAUGUAGAAAUUAUGAUACCAUUGAUGUCACACACACACAUCUAUAUCAAAGAAAAAUGCAUAUUUAGGUUGAAAAUUUGGAUUUGAUUUUGGCUGCUAUUGGUCAGCAUUUUGACUGAAGUAGUUGGCUGUUUAUAGAGGUAAACAAUAAAAGGCCUAAAUAUAUCUUCGAUUCGAUACAGGAAAAAAUUAAGAAAAAAAGAAAACAGCACCAAAAAGUCUGAGACUUGAAAUUAUUGGCCUGGCCUGAUAAUGGAUAUAGGCUGGAUAAGUUCAAAUAUAACUUGUUUCUGAUAAAAAUGACCAUCAUUCUGCACAACUUAUGAUUUUCUGGUCUGGGGAUCUUAACUAUCAUACCAGACUCGUCAUUUCAGUGUUUUUGGUCGUAAAAUUGAAGACUUUUUUGGUUUUUCUUUUCUGUAGCUCUAGCUUACAAUAGCAACCCUUUGCUCUUAGGCCGUCAUAAGGCCGCCUGCACUAAAGACUCAUAUGUUAAUUUGAAUAGUAUAAGUUCAUGUUGGGGCCAUGGACACCUCAUGGUUUUAGAUCGACUGGUUACUCAACAUAAUAUCAAAGCCGAUUUGAAUUGUUUACUGUCUGCAAUUGUACUAUUGAGGGUAAGUGUUUCUUAACAGAAUUGAAAUGUUUUAAACUCAGAACUAUAUCCUAACUCUUCUACGGAUCAGUUCUGUCAUGUCUACGUGUACAAGAAGGUAGGCACUAGCCAGCAUAUGCUGCAAAUAUGUGGAAUGGAGCUUUAGGUAAGAGGCUCAGCCCUCAAAUAUGAUCACUUGGUAAGCAUUGUAUGAUUGAAAGUGCUUGUAUUGUUACCAGAAAUAUCAGGAAUGAGGCUGAGUUGAGCAACUACAGAUUACCGAACGAAAAUAUAAAAUACAUAAUCACUAGAAAAAAACAGGAUUGACAAAUUGGCCGAAGUGCCUUAUUUCAGAUGGAUCACCUAUACUAUUAUAUUUAUGACAUAAAUCCUUAAAGUUCUCCAUCCCAGAGCUCCUCGAGUGUCUUGAAAGGGCCAGUUUCAGAGACAAAGAACUCCGCAAGGUUUGCCCUCCUCUGCGGUAUUGCAGCAAUCUUCUUGGACUCUUCAUCGCUCAACUCCCACCCAAAAAUUUCAAGAUUCUGCUUUAGUCUCUCUUUGUUGUAGCUCUUCAUCACAAUAACAAUCCCUUGCUCAUAAGCCCAUCUCAAGGCAAUCUGGGCUACAGACUUACCUUUCGACUUUGCAAUUUCAAUCAGAACCUCGGCUUCCAACACUCCUUUCGUCCCCCAAAAAGCUCCUGCUGCUCCUAGAGGAGAAUAAGCAGCAACCUUGAUUCCAUUUGCCUGACAGAAGGCCCUCAAUUUCCCCUGCUGCCAUGCUGGAUUCAAUUCCACCUUUAUACAUGAAUAGAUUAGUACAUAGUUUUUCGAUGUUAAUAGAGUAGUAGUUUACUAUUAAUUUGUAGUUUGGGAAUGCAAGCUUACUUGAUUGAUAGCAGGAGGAAUCUUGGCAAAAGCCAAAAUAUCCGCAAGCUUCUUGCAACUGAAAUUACUGACACCGAUUGAUUUUGUAAGGCCGAGACUUUGGCACUCUUCCAUUGCUGUCCAAACAGCUUUGAAGUCCAUUGCAGCAAAAUUCUCAGGGUUUAGUUGAAAAGGGUUUGAUCCAGCCUUCAUGCUCACCGGAAAAUGUAUAAGAUACUGAUCAAGAUAGUCCAACUUCAUAUCCCUGUCCAACAAUGAAUAAAAAUACUACUAACUGUUAGAAUAUAAUGAUCCUCGUAAAAAGCUUUUCCCUAACACCUCGUAAAAGCUACCUGAUUACCUCAAACUCUUUUGAAGGGCAGGAAGGACUCGGUCACCAUAAUUAUCAUGCAACCAGAGCUUUGAGGUAAUAAAAAGCUCAUCGCGAGACUUGAUUAGGCCACGACUAAUAGCUUGAGCUAUUGCUUCACCAAGAGCUUCCUCUGUUUGGUAAAAAGCAGCGGUAUCAAACAUCCUGUAACCAAGCUCAAUUGCGUCAAGCACAGCUUUCUUCGUAUUAGUUAUAACUUCUGGUGUCGGAUCAGAAGCUCCUAAUCCAAGUCCUAGAACUGGCAUAGGUUUUGCAUUUCCGGAGCUCAAACAAAUUUCUGGAAUAGCCAUCUUUUACUUAUAAUUUCUGGACAACUUAGUAUGUACUUAGAGUUUCUUUGAUUGCAUUAAAAGAUCAACAGAACUAUAUAUAAACAUGUGCAUGUGAUUAAUAUAAUCCACUGCAACAUUUCUUAGUUGAAUGAGGAACCUGAUCGGAAGGAGAGUAGUAUCUUCAGGGACUUCUUGGACGUCAUGGAUGAUGCUUUUAUGGUACUCCACAUUUUCUUUGUGAUUUUUCCAAGAAAUUGUUCAUUGGAUUUGAGAUAUAUUAAUAAACUUAUAGAUUGUUUAAAAUAAGAAAAUCAAGCAUGCAUGCAGGGGAAUCAAUGAAAGAAACCUUUGAUAAAUCAGUGAUUUUGACCUGACAAUAAUUUUCAAUUUUUCCAAGAGGCCAGGACAAAUUGAUUUGUGAUACUUGUGUUGACGAUAUAAAGUAACAUUGAAAUAUUAUAGACUUGAGAACACGAUGAAGAAGAUAAUUUUAAAAAUCAAUAUAAUUGAAAUUUAAUAAUCCGAACAAUAAUAAAAAAUAUUACUGCAGAGUCUUUUUAAGGGCAGGGAUGACACGAUCGCCAUGGUUAUCAGUGCACCAGAUUUUAGAGCUGAGAAAGACAUCAUCGCGGGAAUUUAUUAAACCAAGACUAACUGCUUGAGUUAUAGCUUCACCAAGAGCUUCCUCUGUUUCAUAAGCGGAAGCAGUAUCAAACAUCCUGUAACCAAGCUCAAUUGCUUCAAGCACAGCUUUUACGACUUCCUCUGGCUUAAGAUGGGGAUAUCCACCCGUGCCUAGUCCCAAAACAGGCAUAGCUUUUGCAUUUCCGGAGCUCAGAGCAACCUCUGGAACACUUUUCAGAGCCAUCUUUUAAUCAGUAUCACCUGAUAGCCAACUUAA
This 3456-nucleotide long non-coding RNA is filed under the name Daucus carota (carrot). Its description in RNAcentral is "long non-coding RNA (DCAR_LNC005931)". The record is from RNAcentral. Lineage: Eukaryota; Viridiplantae; Streptophyta; Magnoliopsida; Apiales; Apiaceae.